Molecule: long non-coding RNA, 862 nt
Organism: Prunus dulcis (almond)
Lineage: Eukaryota; Viridiplantae; Streptophyta; Magnoliopsida; Rosales; Rosaceae
Exons: 3
Source: RefSeq, a predicted model, not a curated record
AAUUCGACAAAAUCACUCCUGAGGUUUGAAGCAAGCCCCUCUCCUCCUUCAAACCCUCAUAUCUCCUCUGUUCUCUCCCUUCUUCCCUCUCUCUCCCUUCAAAGUAAGCCAAACAGUCUUAGAGCCAUGGACCAACACAAGACCAACGAAAAUCCUCCCUCGUCGCACCGACGACAAUCUCUGUUACGUUGGUGGGCUCAAAUGUGAUCUCGUAGGCGAUGCCUCCAUUUCCUUUGCAGAGCUGAUGGUUAAGUUCGCAGAAUUCUGUGGCUACUACUGUAGAUUUGAGGUGUCAAUUACCGAAUGAAGGUGUUCAAAACGCCGACGUCAGUGGUGAUUGUGAGAAGAACGAAGAUGAAGACGAUUUCUCUUUUGCACCAGACGGAUCGCCGAUUUCCACCGACGAUAUAUUCCAAAUUGGCCAGAUCCGUCCAAUGUUCUCGAUUUUCAACCAGGAUCUCCUGUUCUCCGAUGCCGACGACGACGAAGCUUCCAGAGCCAAAGGGGCUGCCGCUUCGUCUUCCUAUAUGCGACCGCCAUUGAAGAAGCUUUUCUUUGAAGAGCGGGAUACACCAACCUCGGCAACGUCGUUUUACAACUCAGGAGGUGGACUCGGGUUGUGAUCUAUGAGAUCAACCCGCUUCUAAGUUUGAUCAUCAACACCUUUUACAACAAGAAGGAAAUCAUUCUCUGUGAGCUCAUUAGUAAUGCCUCUGAUCCAGUAGACGUGCACAGGAAUCCACCACCGGGCUGUUUCCCGUCUUCCGCGCCUUUCUUUUGAUGUAGGAUUUUUGUUUUGUAAAAGGAUUGAUUCCUUUGUAAAUUCUUAGUAGUUGCUCUGAUGUUUUGCCCUAGACUGAGA